GGAGGAGUGGCUGAGCUGGUUUAAGGCACCCGACUUGAAAUCGGGCGCGGGCAUGUUCCCGCCGGGGGUUCGAAUCCCUCCUCCUCCGCCA
Molecule: transfer RNA, 91 nt
Filed under: Opitutaceae bacterium
Lineage: Bacteria; Pseudomonadati; Verrucomicrobiota; Opitutia; Opitutales; Opitutaceae
Description: tRNA-Ser
Rfam family: tRNA
About the family: Transfer RNA (tRNA) molecules are approximately 80 nucleotides in length. Their secondary structure includes four short double-helical elements and three loops (D, anti-codon, and T loops). Further hydrogen bonds mediate the characteristic L-shaped molecular structure. tRNAs have two regions of fundamental functional importance: the anti-codon, which is responsible for specific mRNA codon recognition, and the 3' end, to which the tRNAs corresponding amino acid is attached (by aminoacyl-tRNA synthetases). tRNAs cope with the degeneracy of the genetic code in two manners: having more than one tRNA (with a specific anti-codon) for a particular amino acid; and 'wobble' base-pairing, i.e. permitting non-standard base-pairing at the 3rd anti-codon position.
Source: RNAcentral